CCUACGGGAGGCAGCUGUCGAGAAUCAUUCACAAUGGGGGAAACCCUGAUGGUGCGACGCCGCGUGGGGGAAUGAAGGUCUUCGGAUUGUAAACCCCUGUCAUGUGGGAGCAAAUUAAAAAGAUAGUACCACAAGAGGAAGAGACGGCUAACUCUGUGCCAGCAGCCGCGGUAAUACAGAGGUCUCAAGCGUUGUUCGGAAUCACUGGGCGUAAAGGGUGCGUAGGCUGUUUCGUAAGUCGUGUGUGAAAGGCGCGGGCUCAACCCGCGGACGGCACAUGAUACUGCGAGACUAGAGUAAUGGAGGGGGAACCGGAAUUCUCGGUGUAGCAGUGAAAUGCGUAGAUAUCGAGAGGAACACUCGUGGCGAAGGCGGGUUCCUGGACAUUAACUGACGCUGAGGCACGAAGGCCAGGGGAGCGAAAGGGAUUAGAUACCCUGGUAGUC
RNAcentral lists this ribosomal RNA (446 nucleotides) under uncultured bacterium. RNAcentral's name for it is "partial 16S ribosomal RNA". It matches the Rfam family "Bacterial small subunit ribosomal RNA", at positions 338 to 795 of the family's 1533-position model. The record is from RNAcentral.